RNAcentral lists this ribosomal RNA (1454 nucleotides) under metagenome. RNAcentral's name for it is "bacterial LSU rRNA". It matches the Rfam family "Bacterial large subunit ribosomal RNA", at positions 1459 to 2925 of the family's 2925-position model. The record is from RNAcentral.
GAGAACUGUGGGGACACAGAGACAAAGGACGAGCCGGGAAUGGAAAAACCGGUGCAAGCGAGGUAGCUUCAUGGGAGGGAAAGCCCCCAUGUAUAAGGCGAAUGCGUGAAGCGUAGCGAACUUAAAAGUAGCGAAGCGUGUGGAGUCACUGUCAGGAAAAGCCGCUAUUGCGUAUCAUGAACCCGUACCGUAAACCGACACAGGUGGAUGAGGAGAGAAUCCUAAGGCCGACGGAAGAAGCAUUGUUAAGGAAUUCGGCAAAAUGACCCCGUAACUUCGGGAGAAGGGGUGCCUACGAAUGUAGGCCGCAGAGAAUUGGCCCAAGCAACUGUUUAGCAAAAACACAGGUUUAUGCGAAACCGAAAGGUGAAGUAUAUGAGCUGACGCCUGCCCGGUGCUGGAAGGUUAAGGGGAGAGCUUAGAGGCAACUCGAAGGUUCGAACUUAAGCCCCAGUAAACGGCGGCCGUAACAAUAACGGUCCUAAGGUAGCGAAAUUCCUUGUCGGGUAAGUUCCGACCCGCACGAAAGGCGUAAUGAUUUGGGCACUGUCUCGACAAUGCAUCCGGUGAAAUUGAAAUACCAGUGAAGAUGCUGGUUACCCGCGCCAGGACGGAAAGACCCCAUGGAGCUUUACUCCAGUUUGAUGCUGGGAUUCGGUACUGCAUGUACAGGAUAGGCGGGAGACUAGGAAGAUAUAACGCCAGUUGUAUCAGAGUCGCUGUUGGGAUACCGCCCUUGUAGUACUGGGUUUCUAACCUGCCACCGUGAACCGGUGGAGGGACAACGUCAGGCGGGGAGUUUGACUGGGGCGGUCGCCUCCGAAAGGGUAUCGGAGGCGCUCAAAGGUUCCCUCAGAAUGGUUGGAAACCAUUCGAAGAGUGCAAAGGCAGAAGGGAGCUUGACUGCGAGGUCGACGGACCGAGCAGGUACGAAAGUAGGACUUAGUGAUCCGGUGGUAGAAAGUGGGAUUGCCAUCGCUCAACGGAUAAAAGCUACCCUGGGAUAACAGGCUAAUCACUCCCAAGAGUUCACAUCGACGGAGUGGUUUGGCACCUCGAUGUCGGCUCAUCGCAUCCUGGGGCUGUAGCAGGUCCCAAGGGUUGGGCUGUUCGCCCAUUAAAGCGGUACGCGAGCUGGGUUCAGAACGUCGUGAGACAGUUCGGUCCCUAUCCGGCGCGGGCGUAGGAUAUCUGAAAGGAGCUAGCCUUAGUACGAGAGGACCGGGCUGGACGGACCGCUGGUGUAUCUGUUGUCAUACCAAUGGCAUAGCAGGGUAGCCAAGUCUGGAAGGGAUAAACGCUGAAGGCAUCUAAGCGUGAAGCCCCCCUUAAGAUAAGAUAUCCCUGGAGUUAAUCCAGUAAGACCCCUUGAAGACGACGAGGUAGAUAGGGCAGAGGUGGAAGUGUGGUAACACAUGGAGCUGACUGUCACUAAUAGGUCGAGGGCUUGACCU